This 252-nucleotide unclassified non-coding RNA is filed under the name Glomeraceae sp. RNAcentral's name for it is "partial contains 5.8S ribosomal RNA and internal transcribed spacer 2". The stretch from base 1 to 71 matches the Rfam family "5.8S ribosomal RNA", at positions 84 to 154 of the family's 154-position model. Lineage: Eukaryota; Fungi; Glomeromycota; Glomeromycetes; Glomerales; Glomeraceae. The record is from RNAcentral.
GUGAAUCAUCGAAUCUUUGAACGCAAAUUGCGCUUUCUGGCAUUCCGGGAAGUAUGCCUGUUUGAGGGUUAGUAUUAAUAAAAAAUCGGUUUAGUUACAAUCUGUGACGUUUCCGGAGUUUGGGCUAUCUUAACAUUUUUGGUUAAGAGGCUUAAAAUUGUCCUUUUUUGCGCAUUUUUAAAUGUACAUAAUUUUUUUUUAUUCGUCUAUUUUUAAUGUCCAAUCAUUAUUAGUAGUGAUCAUAUUGUGUGG